GCUAACUCCUGGCAAGCAGCACGGGGAAGACGGGGGGUGCAAACGUUAAUCGGAAUGACUGGGCGUAAAGAGCAUGUAGGCAGAUUAAUAAGUUUGAAGUGAAAUCCUAUAGCUUAACUAUAGAACUGCUUUGAAAACUGUUAAUCUAGAAUGUGGGAGAGGUAGAUGGAAUUUCUGGUGUAGGGGUAAAAUCCGUAGAGAUCAGAAGGAAUACCGAUUGCGAAGGCGAUCUACUGGAACAUUAUUGACGCUGAGAUGCGAAAGCGUGGGGAGCAAACAGGAUUAGAUACCCCGGUAGUC
This 300-nucleotide ribosomal RNA is filed under the name uncultured bacterium. Its description in RNAcentral is "bacterial SSU rRNA". It matches the Rfam family "Bacterial small subunit ribosomal RNA", at positions 496 to 795 of the family's 1533-position model. The record is from RNAcentral.